Molecule: ribosomal RNA, 497 nt
Filed under: uncultured bacterium
Lineage: Bacteria
Description: partial 16S ribosomal RNA
Rfam family: Bacterial small subunit ribosomal RNA
Source: RNAcentral
GAUGAACGCUGGCGGCGUGCCUAAUACAUGCAAGUCGAGCGAACGGACGAGAAGCUUGCUUCUCUGAUGUUAGCGGCGGACGGGUGAGUAACACGUGGAUAACCUACCUAUAAGACUGGGAUAACUUCGGGAAACCGGAGAUAAUACCGGAUAAUAUUUUGAACCGCAUGGUUCAAAAGUGAAAGACGGUCUUGCCGUCACUAAAAGAUGGAUCCGCGCUGCAUUAGCUAGUUGGUAAGGUAACGGCUUACCAAGGCAACGAUGCAUAGCCGACCUGAGAGGGUGACCGGCCACACGGGAACGGAGACACGGUCCAGACUCCUACGGGAGGCAGCAGUGGGGAAUCUUCCGCAAUGGGCGAAAGCCUGACGGAGCAACGCCGCGUGAGUGAUGAAGGUCUUCGGAUCUUAAAACUCUGUUAUUAGGGAAGAACAUAUGUGUAAGUAACUGUGCACAUCUUGACGGUACCUAAUCAGAAAGCCACGGCUAACUACGUG